CCGGAAGUGAUGACAGCCUGGCACUGACCCCCCUGAUGGUCACUCGUGUUCGUACUGUCUGAUCCGC
Molecule: small nucleolar RNA, 67 nt
Organism: Pyrgilauda ruficollis (rufous-necked snowfinch)
Lineage: Eukaryota; Metazoa; Chordata; Aves; Passeriformes; Passeridae
Source: RefSeq, a predicted model, not a curated record